AGUGAACGCUGGCGGUAGGCCUAACACAUGCAAGUCGAACGGCAGCACAGUAAGAGCUUGCUCUUACGGGUGGCGAGUGGCGGACGGGUGAGGAAUACAUCGGAAUCUACUUUUUCGUGGGGGAUAACGUAGGGAAACUUACGCUAAUACCGCAUACGACCUACGGGUGAAAGCAGGGGAUCUUCGGACCUUGCGCGAUUGAAUGAGCCGAUGUCGGAUUAGCUAGUUGGCGGGGUAAAGGCCCACCAAGGCGACGAUCCGUAGCUGGUCUGAGAGGAUGAUCAGCCACACUGGAACUGAGCCACGGUCCAGAGUCCUACGGGAGGCAGCAGUGGGGAAUAGUGGACAAUGGGCGCAAGCCUGAUCCAGCCAUACCGCGUGGGUGAAGAAGGCCUUCGGGUUGUAAAGCCCUUUUGUUGGGAAAGAAAAGCAGCAGGUUAAUACCCCGCUGUUCUGACGGUACCCAAAGAAUAAGCACCGGCUAACUUCGUG
Molecule: ribosomal RNA, 492 nt
Filed under: uncultured bacterium
Lineage: Bacteria
Description: partial 16S ribosomal RNA
Rfam family: Bacterial small subunit ribosomal RNA
Source: RNAcentral